AGAAAACCUACAUAUAGCCUGGUAAUAGUACCAGCUUGGUCAAAGGACCCCAUGAGAUAUAAUUUGGCAAGUUUCACCUUUAUGUUUACUCGGGUUAUUACACAUGUCACAAAAUGGCAAGGUAAAGCCAAUGAAUUAGAAUAUAUCUUUGCGCUUGGACGCCAAUACGGCUACGAUGAUAGCUCUAUUCGUGGGGUUUGGAGAAAAAUAAGUAGCACUACACGAAGAACACUAACGCACACCUCAAUCGUACAGCACGUUGAUGAUGCCCGCCCCUUCACAGCAAUUACGUAUUACCAUAACACAAAUAGAAUACUUAGUAAGUAUACUAAACAAGGGAAAUAUAAAAUGGCCCUCAGGAGAGGUACUAAUAUGUUUAACAUGCUACGAAAUGAUAAAAGCAAAAUCCCAGAGACCAAGAAGUCAGGAGUGUAUACCAUCCCCCUGUAUAACCUGGAUGACAAUGAACAACAAUACUAUAUAGGAAGCACAAGCC
RNAcentral lists this long non-coding RNA (496 nucleotides) under Androctonus crassicauda. The record is from RNAcentral. Lineage: Eukaryota; Metazoa; Arthropoda; Arachnida; Scorpiones; Buthidae.